AGACCCGAAACCCGGUGAUCUAGCCAUGGGCAGGUUGAAGGUUGGGUAACACUAACUGGAGGACCGAACCGACUAAUGUUGAAAAAUUAGCGGAUGACCUGUGGCUGGGGGUGAAAGGCCAAUCAAACCGGGAGAUAGCUGGUUCUCCCCGAAAGCUAUUUAGGUAGCGCCUCGUGAAUUCAUCUCCGGGGGUAGAGCACUGUUUCGGCUAGGGGGCCAUCCCGGCUUACCAACCCGAUGCAAACUGCGAAUACCGGAGAAUGUUAUCACGGGAGACACACGGCGGGUGCUAACGUCCGUCGUGAAGAGGGAAACAACCCAGACCGCCAGCUAAGGUCCCAAAGUCAUGGUUAAGUGGGAAACGAUGUGGGAAGGCCCAGACAGCCAGGAUGUUGGCUUAGAAGCAGCCAUCAUUUAAAGAAAGCGUAAUAGCUCACUGGUCGAGUCGGCCUGCGCGGAAGAUGUAACGGGGCUAAACCAUGCACCGAAGCUGCGGCAGCGACGCUUAUGCGUUGUUGGGUAGGGGAGCGUUCUGUAAGCCUGUGAAGGUGGCCUGUGAGGGUUGCU
Molecule: ribosomal RNA, 567 nt
Filed under: Salmonella enterica subsp. enterica serovar Dublin
Lineage: Bacteria; Pseudomonadati; Pseudomonadota; Gammaproteobacteria; Enterobacterales; Enterobacteriaceae
Description: partial 23S ribosomal RNA
Rfam family: Bacterial large subunit ribosomal RNA
Source: RNAcentral